Molecule: ribosomal RNA, 253 nt
Filed under: uncultured bacterium
Lineage: Bacteria
Description: partial 16S ribosomal RNA
Rfam family: Bacterial small subunit ribosomal RNA
Source: RNAcentral
UACGUAGGUGGCAAGCGUUGUCCGGAAUUAUUGGGCGUAAAGCGCGCGUAGGCGGUUACUUAAGUCGGAUGUGAAAGCCCUCGGCUUAACUGAGGAAGUGCACCCGAAACUGAGUAGCUAGAGUACGAAAGAGGGUCGCGGAAUUCCCGGUGUAGAGGUGAAAUUCGUAGAUAUCGGGAGGAACACCGGUGGCGAAGGCGGCGACCUGGGUCGAGACUGACGCUGAGGCGCGAAAGCGUGGGGAGCAAACAGG